CCUACGGGUGGCAGCAGUGAGGAAUAUUGGUCAAUGGGCGUAAGCCUGAACCAGCCAAGUCGCGUGAGGGAUGACUGCCCUAUGGGUCGUAAACCUCUUUUAUAUGGGAAUAAAAUGUUCGACGUGUCGGAUUUUGUAUGUACCUUAUGAAUAAGGAUCGGCUAACUCCGUGCCAGCAGCCGCGGUAAUACGGAGGAUCCGAGCGUUAUCCGGAUUUAUUGGGUUUAAAGGGAGCGUAGGUGGCUUUUUAAGUCAGUGGUUAAAGUUUGCGGCUCAACCGUAACAUUGCAGUUGACACUGGCAGUCUCGAGUAUAGUAGAGGUAGGCGGAAUUCGUGGUGUAGCGGUGAAAUGCUUAGAUAUCACGCAGAACUCCGAUUGCGAAGGCAGCUUACCAGAC
RNAcentral lists this ribosomal RNA (399 nucleotides) under uncultured bacterium. RNAcentral's name for it is "partial 16S ribosomal RNA". It matches the Rfam family "Bacterial small subunit ribosomal RNA", at positions 338 to 734 of the family's 1533-position model. The record is from RNAcentral.